GAUGAACGCUGGCGGCGUGCCUAAUACAUGCAAGUCGAACGCACAGCGAAAGGUGCUUGCACCUUUCAAGUGAGUGGCGAACGGGUGAGUAACACGUGGAUAACCUACCUCAAGGUUGGGGAUACAUUUGGAAACAGAUGCUAAUACCGAAUAAAACUUAGUAUCGCAUGAUACCAGGUUAAAAGGCGCUACGGCGUCACCUAGAGAUGGAUCCGCGGUGCAUUAGUUAGUUGGUGGGGUAAAGGCGUUACCAAGACAAUGAUGCAUAGCCGAGUUGAGAGACUGAUCGGCCAC
This 294-nucleotide ribosomal RNA is filed under the name uncultured bacterium. RNAcentral's name for it is "partial 16S ribosomal RNA". It matches the Rfam family "Bacterial small subunit ribosomal RNA", at positions 28 to 311 of the family's 1533-position model. The record is from RNAcentral.